This 476-nucleotide ribosomal RNA is filed under the name uncultured bacterium. RNAcentral describes it as "bacterial SSU rRNA". It matches the Rfam family "Bacterial small subunit ribosomal RNA", at positions 26 to 518 of the family's 1533-position model. The record is from RNAcentral.
AGGACGAACGCUGGCGGCACGCUUAACACAUGCAAGUCGAACGGAGAAUAUUGGUUACUGAGUAUUCUUAGUGGCGGACGGGUGAGUAACACGUGAGCAACCUGCCUUUGAGAGAGGGAUAGCUUCUGGAAACGGAUGGUAAUACCUCAUAACAUAACGAAGCCGCAUGACUUUGUUAUCAAAGAUUUAUCACUCAAAGAUGGGCUCGCGUCUGAUUAGAUAGUUGGUGAGGUAACGGCUCACCAAGUCGACGAUCAGUAGCCGGACUGAGAGGUUGAACGGCCACAUUGGGACUGAGACACGGCCCAGACUCCUACGGGAGGCAGCAGUGGGGAAUAUUGCACAAUGGGGGAAACCCUGAAUGCAGCGAUGCCGCGUGGAGGAAGAAGGUUUUCGGAUUGUAAACUCCUGUCUUAAAGGACGAUAAUGACGGUACUUUAGGAGGAAGCUCCGGCUAACUACGUGCCAGCCGCUGC